This 639-nucleotide ribosomal RNA is filed under the name Salmonella enterica subsp. enterica serovar Muenchen. RNAcentral's name for it is "partial 23S ribosomal RNA". It matches the Rfam family "Bacterial large subunit ribosomal RNA", at positions 2164 to 2802 of the family's 2925-position model. RNAcentral also lists the same sequence under 15 other names. The record is from RNAcentral. Lineage: Bacteria; Pseudomonadati; Pseudomonadota; Gammaproteobacteria; Enterobacterales; Enterobacteriaceae.
GUGGACGCCAGUCUGCAUGGAGCCGACCUUGAAAUACCACCCUUUAAUGUUUGAUGUUCUAACGUGGACCCGUUACCCGGGUUGCGGACAGUGUCUGGUGGGUAGUUUGACUGGGGCGGUCUCCUCCUAAAGAGUAACGGAGGAGCACGAAGGUUGGCUAAUCCUGGUCGGACAUCAGGAGGUUAGUGCAAUGGCAUAAGCCAGCUUGACUGCGAGCGUGACGGCGCGAGCAGGUGCGAAAGCAGGUCAUAGUGAUCCGGUGGUUCUGAAUGGAAGGGCCAUCGCUCAACGGAUAAAAGGUACUCCGGGGAUAACAGGCUGAUACCGCCCAAGAGUUCAUAUCGACGGCGGUGUUUGGCACCUCGAUGUCGGCUCAUCACAUCCUGGGGCUGAAGUAGGUCCCAAGGGUAUGGCUGUUCGCCAUUUAAAGUGGUACGCGAGCUGGGUUUAGAACGUCGUGAGACAGUUCGGUCCCUAUCUGCCGUGGGCGCUGGAGAACUGAGGGGGGCUGCUCCUAGUACGAGAGGACCGGAGUGGACGCAUCACUGGUGUUCGGGUUGUCAUGCCAAUGGCACUGCCCGGUAGCUAAAUGCGGAAGAGAUAAGUGCUGAAAGCAUCUAAGCACGAAACUUGCCCCGA